GGAAGUGACGUCCCUUGGGUCCCAUACCCCUGAGAGUCGGUCAGGCCCCUCUCUCCGGCUUGCCUUCAUGGGCCGGCUGGAGUGAACACUGAGCAGGGGCCGCAGGACUCUCACCACUGGCUUGCCUUAACCGGCCGUCCAGAGUGGGGUGUCAGAGCUAUAUGCUCGCAGGGUGGAAGUGAAAUUUGCUGUACACCUCUCCACACCCUGAGCCGCUCAUGCAAUGUUGUCCUCUUGUCGCUCCGUGCGAGCGACCUUUUUCGGGGACCCAUAUAGUGAGUUGGCGAGUCACCACCUGUCCAUUUUUUCGUGUUUUUAAACAUAAAUUGGGGCAGGUGCCAUAGUAUUUCCAUAGACCCGGUUACCAGUACACUAACAUCUCAACACAAUAGCCCAGUUUCUUUUGUUUCUUAUCAUUGCAAUAGUCCUACACUAACGGGGCUUAUCCUUGGGUGCAUUACUAUAGUGCAUACAGGGAUAAUCGUCGGGUGGUGUCACAUCACCUUUUAGAGUAAAUUGUCUUUUUACAAGGGGCCUCUGCGUGUUGGCUUUGGCUCCACGCACGCCUUCCAAAUGUCCGGGACCCCAUGGUCCCGAGAUUAUGUAAAGGACGAACAUAAUAAUAAUAA
This is a long non-coding RNA of Cydia splendana, 629 nucleotides long. RefSeq lists it as uncharacterized. The transcript is spliced from 2 exons. The record is from RefSeq and is a predicted model, not a curated record. NCBI's taxonomy places the organism in Eukaryota, Metazoa, Arthropoda, Insecta, Lepidoptera, Tortricidae.